Molecule: long non-coding RNA, 330 nt
Filed under: Phoenix dactylifera (date palm)
Lineage: Eukaryota; Viridiplantae; Streptophyta; Magnoliopsida; Arecales; Arecaceae
Description: long non-coding RNA (PDAC_LNC013212)
Source: RNAcentral
CAAGACUAAAAACCGGACCGUGACCUAAUAAAAAGGGUUAAUCAAACCUUUGCCCCAUACAUAAUUAAUUAUAACUUUCGAUCGAAUCAGGACCAAAACCCAUUUAAUUAUAACCUUAGCUUGAUUACAACUCCAUCAGGUUACCAAAUCGGGUCAACACAAUCUCCUCCUUAUAUGUUUUCAUGAAAGAUUAUAACCAGGAGAGAGACAAGUUUAGAGUCUGUUUUGAGAAAAGAAUUAUUUACCUCUUACCAUAUUUUAAAUUCAUUUCAAUGUUUAUUUAAUUUUAUGGUAAAAUAUAUAUUUAUCAGUUUAAAAACAUUGAUAAGU